Impatiens glandulifera is the source of this 344-nucleotide long non-coding RNA. RefSeq lists it as uncharacterized. The record is from RefSeq and is a predicted model, not a curated record. The transcript is spliced from 3 exons. NCBI's taxonomy places the organism in Eukaryota, Viridiplantae, Streptophyta, Magnoliopsida, Ericales, Balsaminaceae.
GAUACAUUGCUCGAUGAAACAUACGAGUAUAUGAAGAAGCUUGAACGCAACUUUCAGAUUAUGAAAAUAAUCUCAAACAACUCAUCCAAGGAACAUAUGUUGCCUCCAUCUUUAGUGCAUCAUUUAUUGUCCAUGCCAAGUUCAUCAGAAUCCCUUUCGACAAUUACGAAUUCAUUGAAGCCGGACUCAAACUCAGACUCAGACUCAAACUCAUACUCAGAUGUGGACUCAGACUCAGAUGUGAACUCAGACUCAGAUGUGAACUCAGACUCAGAUGUGGACGUGGACGAAAAUGUUUAAUCAGGUUUGCUGAUUGAGUCAAGAAUAUUUUCAUGCUCUCAUGG